Molecule: ribosomal RNA, 198 nt
Filed under: uncultured Veillonellaceae bacterium
Lineage: Bacteria; Bacillati; Bacillota; Negativicutes; Veillonellales; Veillonellaceae
Description: partial 16S ribosomal RNA
Rfam family: Bacterial small subunit ribosomal RNA
Source: RNAcentral
GGAAACGACUGCUAAUACCGCAUACGAUCCAAUCUCGGCAUCGAGGAUGGAUGAAAGGUGGCCUCUAUUUAUAAGCUAUCACUGAAGGAGGGGAUUGCGUCUGAUUAGCUAGUUGGAGGGGUAACGGCCCACCAAGGCAACGAUGCAUAGCCGACCUGAGAGGGUGAUCGGCCACACUGGAACUGAGACACGGUCCAG